Molecule: ribosomal RNA, 1231 nt
Filed under: metagenome
Description: SSU rRNA
Rfam family: Eukaryotic small subunit ribosomal RNA
Source: RNAcentral
AGUCUGGUGCCAGCAGCCGCGGUAAUUCCAGCUCCAAUAGCGUAUAUUAAAGUUGUUGCAGUUAAAAAGCUCGUAGUUGGAUUUCUGUUUUGAGCGUCCGGUCGGCUCCCUCUGGAGUGUGUACUUUUGCGACGUUCGAGGCAUUUUUUGUGAGGACGCUUUUCUGCCAUUAAGUUGGUGGUUUGGUGGACUUGCAUCGUUUACUGUGAAAAAAUUAGAGUGUUUAAAGCAGGCGUUUGCUCAUUGAAUACAUUAGCAUGGAAUAAUAAGAUACGACCUUGGUGGUCUAUUUUGUUGGUUUGCACACCAGGGUAAUGAUUAAUAGGGACAGUUGGGGGUAUUCAUAUUUCAGCGUCAGAGGUGAAAUUCUUGGAUCGCUGAAAGAUGAGCUUAGGCGAAAGCAUUUACCAAGGAUGUUUUCAUUAAUCAAGAACGAAAGUUAGGGGAUCGAAGAUGAUUAGAUACCAUCGUAGUCUUAGCCAUAAACUAUGCCGACUCGGGAUUGGCAGUCGUUUUUUUAAAUGACCUUGUCAGCACCGUAUGAGAAAUCAAAGUCUUUGGGUUCCGGGGGGAGUAUGGUCGCAAGGCUGAAACUUAAAGGAAUUGACGGAAGGGCGCCACCAGGAGUGGAGCCUGCGGCUUAAUUUGACCCAACACGGGGAAACUUACCAGGUCCAGACAUAGUAAGGAUUGACAGAUUGAGAGCUCUUUCUUGAUUCUAUGGGUGGUGGUGCAUGGCCGUUCUUAGUUGGUGGAGUGAUUCGUCUGGUUAAUUCCGUUAACGAACGAGACCUCCGCGUGCUAACUAGUUCCGCUUACAAUUUUUUGUAGGUUUUUGGGACUUCUUAGAGGGACUUUUGGGUAAUCAAACCAAAGGAAGUUGGAGGCAAUAACAGGUCUGUGAUGCCCUUAGAUGUUCUGGGCCGCACGCCGCUACACUGAUGCGUUCAACGAGUAUACAACCUUGAUCGAUAGGUCUGGGUAAUCUUUUGAAUGCGCAUCGUGCUAGGGAUAGAUUGUUGCAAUUUUCAAUCUUGAACGAGGAAUUCCUAGUAAACGCAAGUCAUCAGCUUGCAUUGAUUACGUCCCUGCCCUUUGUACACACCGCCCGUCGCACCUACCGAUUGAAUGACUCGGUGAAAAAUUGGGACUGUGAGCCUGUUUGCUUUAUUGCGAGUGGGUUUGUGGGAACUUUUUUUAACCUCGCCAUUUAGAGGAAGGUGAAGUCGUA